Molecule: ribosomal RNA, 253 nt
Filed under: uncultured bacterium
Lineage: Bacteria
Description: partial 16S ribosomal RNA
Rfam family: Bacterial small subunit ribosomal RNA
Source: RNAcentral
UACGGGGGGGGCAAGCGUUGUUCGGAAUUACUGGGCGUAAAGGGCUCGUAGGCGGCCAAUUAAGUCGGAUGUGAAAUCCCCAGGCUUAACCUGGGAACUGCAUCCGAUACUGGAUGGCUUGAAUUCGGGAGAGGGAUGCAGAAUUCCAGGUGUAGCGGUGAAAUGCGUAGAUAUCUGGAGGAACACCGGUGGCGAAGGCGGCAUCCUGGACCAAUUCUGACGCUGAGGAGCGAAAGCCAGGGGAGCAAACGGG